CCCUACCCCUGGGCACAGACCUGGUCUCUUGUGGACAGGAGUCAGAAGGACCUGUGCCCACAUCCAGCUUUGCCACUCCUGCCGGCACACAAUCAUUAAUGAAGAUGUGAAGUGAGACACCAAUCCUCACAGCCCCCACCACGUGCCCCCUCCCAUGUCACGCUGCUGGAAUCAUUAUCCUUCCUGGUGUGACAGGGUCAGAACCAAACCAAUUUGCAUCAAUCUUUGGUGAUGUUGUGAAGUGUCGCCUGCCCUGCAGUCCUCAUGUUGUAACAACUGCUUCAGCUGUCUCUUCUGGAGCGUUCCUCUGUCCUUUGGAGGGCUGAUCAGAUCUGGCCACUCCAGCUCACCUGGCUGAAAGCCCCAGUUAACAUAACAGUUAAGCAGGAUUCAAGGCUGCACGUGGCUGACAUUUUCCCUUUGUUUUGCUCUCCUGAGCUGGACAGAAAGUAGCACCUCUUUGGGAAACAGGGCGGACAAGUGCACACGCUGGUGAAGUGGAGGAGGGAAUGGGUGUGGCAGGCACAAGAUUUUUCUUCCUCAUCCUGACAUCUAUUUCUGCUGAAGGAAAAGGAGGAGUGAGGUUCCUGGGGCCCCUCCAUGGCCUAGUCAGAUGCCUGGGCUUGUAUAUUCCGGGGACCUGGGGCUGGAUGAGGCAUUUCUUAGGACAAAGACCAUUCUUCUCCACGAUUUUUGUAUGUCAUCUGGCCCUGAUGCUUUCAUCUCUUCUUUAUCAAUUCCACAACUCUGCUUCUCAUCUCACAGGGAAACCAACUUUAUAUACACACUUGUCUCCCAAUAAAGGUGAGAACCAUCCCUUACACACUCCUGGCAUCCCUCAGAUUCCAACUUGCAAGGAAGUUUUCUUUUCUUCAUUUUCUUCCCUGAUGGUGCAGCGCCUCUGUCUGGCUAUCUGUGAUGAGAACAUGAAGACCAUUUCAGCCUCUGCCCUGACCCAGGCCU
RNAcentral lists this long non-coding RNA (963 nucleotides) under Equus caballus (horse). RNAcentral describes it as "lncRNA (ENSECAG00000058733.1)". Lineage: Eukaryota; Metazoa; Chordata; Mammalia; Perissodactyla; Equidae. The record is from RNAcentral.